Molecule: ribosomal RNA, 810 nt
Filed under: Citrobacter freundii
Lineage: Bacteria; Pseudomonadati; Pseudomonadota; Gammaproteobacteria; Enterobacterales; Enterobacteriaceae
Description: bacterial SSU rRNA
Rfam family: Bacterial small subunit ribosomal RNA
Source: RNAcentral
CCAUCUCUAGCGGUGAAAUGUGUAUAGAUCUGGAGGAAUACGGGUGGCGAAGGCGGCCCCUCGGACAAAGACUGACGCUCAGGUGCGAAAGCGUGGCGAGCAAACAGGAUUAGAUACCCUGGUAGUCCACGCCGUAAACGAUGUCGACUUGGAGGUUGUGCCCUUGAGGCGUGGCUUCCGGAGCUAACGCGUUAAGUCGACCGCCUGGGGAGUACGGCCGCAAGGUUAAAACUCAAAUGAAUUGACGGGGGCCCGCACAAGCGGUGGAGCAUGUGGUUUAAUUCGAUGCAACGCGAAGAACCUUACCUACUCUUGACAUCCAGAGAACUUAGCAGAGAUGCUUUGGUGCCUUCGGGAACUCUGAGACAGGUGCUGCAUGGCUGUCGUCAGCUCGUGUUGUGAAAUGUUGGGUUAAGUCCCGCAACGAGCGCAACCCUUAUCCUUUGUUGCCAGCGGUUAGGCCGGGAACUCAAAGGAGACUGCCAGUGAUAAACUGGAGGAAGGUGGGGAUGACGUCAAGUCAUCAUGGCCCUUACGAGUAGGGCUACACACGUGCUACAAUGGCAUAUACAAAGAGAAGCGACCUCGCGAGAGCAAGCGGACCUCAUAAAGUAUGUCGUAGUCCGGAUUGGAGUCUGCAACUCGACUCCAUGAAGUCGGAAUCGCUAGUAAUCGUGGAUCAGAAUGCCACGGUGAAUACGUUCCCGGGCCUUGUACACACCGCCCGUCACACCAUGUGAGUGGGUUGCAGAAACGAAGGUACGGUAGCUUAACCUUUCGGGAGGUGCGAUUACUAGCUUGAUCAGGACC